Molecule: ribosomal RNA, 468 nt
Filed under: uncultured bacterium
Lineage: Bacteria
Description: partial 16S ribosomal RNA
Rfam family: Bacterial small subunit ribosomal RNA
Source: RNAcentral
GACGAACGCUGGCGGCGUGCUUAACACAUGCAAGUCGAACGGAAAGGCCCUGCUUUUGUGGGGUGCUCGAGUGGCGAACGGGUGAGUAACACGUGAGUAACCUGCCCUUGACUUUGGGAUAACUUCAGGAAACUGGGGCUAAUACCGGAUAGGAGCUCCUGCUGCAUGGUGGGGGUUGGAAAGUUUCGGCGGUUGGGGAUGGACUCGCGGCUUAUCAGCUUGUUGGUGGGGUAGUGGCUUACCAAGGCUUUGACGGGUGGCCGGCCUGAGAGGGUGACCGGCCACAUUGGGACGGAGAUACGGCCCGAACUCCUACGGGAGGCAGCAGUGGGGAAUAUUGCACAAUGGGCGGAGGCCUGAUGCAGCAACGCCGCGUGCGGGAUGACGGCCUUCGGGUGGUAAACCGCUUUCGCCUGUGACGAAGCGUUAGUGACGGUAAUGGGUAAAGAAGCACCGGCUAACUACGUG